ACAACUCUGUGUGCAAGUGAGAAAUGGGAAUACAUUUUUGUUGGAUAAAAACAGGACAAAAUCCGAAUGUAAGAUAGAAAGUUGUAGAAGGUUUAUGGAAAAGGAAUCUUCAGAAAUGAAUUUUAUAUACAGUCAGUACUGGCUACAAUUUAAUAUAAAAAUACAUUGAUGCAAAAAUAAAAUUGUUUUCAUGAAAAAAAUGGUUUUCUUGAACUACUGAUUUGUUCUUAAGAAAUUGUGUAAACAUGUUUUUCUUUACCUUUAAAGAAAACAAGAAUUCUGUGCUUUAUCAACAUAUUUUCCUAUGUCUAAGAUCUAAAUUUUGCUCAAAACUAUAACCUUCUGUAUUGGCUUUGGUAUCCUUUAUUGUCAGUUUGAUUAAAUGGAUAAUUAAAUCUGGUUUCAUAAUGAUAGGAUCCUAUCUUAUCAAAUGUCAAAAUCUUUUCAUGUUUGACCACAGUCUGAGAUACUCCUGAGAGCUCCUGGGACAUUUUAAAAUUUUUUGAGAAAUUAAACUAAUUAAGCUUAUUUGGUAUGUUAAAUUAUAUGGAAAGGUUUGUCAAAUAGGUGAUACUAAAUCCUCUUGUAAUUUGUACAUAAAUUGCAUUUAUGUAGUUAUGUUAUUAAAAUAAAUGUUCUAAAAAGAGUACAAAACUCCUAGAAGUCUGAUGUCCUUGUGUUAUUAUCUUGAAGUGUUGUAGGUUACAGAAGUAAGCAAAUUUCCUUGUCAAUUGCAUUGUGAUGAACCCUAAUGAGAUCUUUAACCAUGGCCAUUUGUAAGUCUUAUCAUUUACAGUUACUGUUUUACUGAGGCUAUUGCAAAUGUGUUAAACAAACUCUGAGAACAGGUUUCUCAUAACCUUAACGUCAUAAAAAUUGAACUGGAUAAGAAUUUCCAGAACUAGUGCAAAUACUGUGUUCAAACAGAACAAAAAUUAGUAACAUGGGAGUAAAAAAAAUGGAGAGGAUAAUUGUAAUUUGUGUGACUUUAUAAAAAAGUCAGCAAUAUUUUAAUCUGGAAAAUAUAGUCUUAAAAAAGUUUUCUUUUCAGCUAACUGAAUUUCCAGAAAUUUGAUUGUUCACACAGAUAUAUUCCAAUUGAAACAUUUAUCAUUUAUCCCUACCUGAUUUCAGAAUCCAGAAUUUUGAAACUGUCAGUGUUCUUAUAUUUUUAUGGCAAUAAAUUUGCAUAUGUUCACUAAGAAUCCCUUCUUCUUGUGACAGGAAACUACUGGAAAUACUGAUUAUAUUACCAAGGCUUUGACUGGAAUGGCAUGCUUGGGAGAAACAUGCAUAGGCUCAGAUAUGACCAGACAGCUUUCAAGAACUAAGCUGGAUUUUACGGAGCUAAUAAAGCCCCUGGGAAAUAUCAGCCUGAUACUUGCUUACAGAAUCCCCAGCAGCCUUACCAGCCCUCUUAUUUAAUAACUGAUUACUGGAACAAUAGGCCUAACUUUGAGAACAUACCUGCGUCAUCACUUCCUGAAAGAGUUUAAUUGAACUGAAUAUCAGGACUAAGACUGGUUCAUACAAGAUGAAACCAUCUACCAACUCAAACUUUAAGGUGUGCAUUUCGCUCUGUGAUGAAGGACACCAGCUUUCUAUGUAGGACACCCAUAUCAAGAUCACAGCAUUAGUUAUUCUUUAUUGUGAAAUACAACAGGAUAACUACUAAGCAUCUUGGACAUUUGCAAAUUUUAAGAAAUAGACACAGGUGAAUGGAUCAGGCUUCUACGUUUUUGCUCUUCUUGUACUAUGUUCAGAAAGGAAUCUGGGAAUCCUUGAGAGUUGGAUAAAACUGGCACAAAAAAUGGAAAAAAAAACACUGAAUGAAAUCUUUGGAAAAAAAACAAACCCUACAAAUCGACUCAAAGUAAAACCUUUCUUAGGUCUGAAAAAACCUCAGACAAGUUUAGAAGCAUUUUUAUGUACAGUGUCUUUAUCUUCCUGCUGACUUUCAGAAGUAAAAACAAAGACAGACAAAACCCACAAAAGACAAAAACACAAACAAAAUAAAACAAAAAACAACUCAACGAUAUGUUCUUAAAUGCACAAAAUGGUAAUUAGGCUUUCGAAUUGAAACUGGCUCUUCAUGUGGCCAGCAAGAGAACAGCGUGGCCAAAGUGGACAGUACAGCAGCCGGCAGCAUCUUUCCUGGUUAAUCAAUGUGAUGGACAGGUGGACAUAGAUGGAUUUUCCUUGAAAGUUGUUCCAGCCAAACUGGUUUUCAUAGAAAGGGCUCUAUUUUAAUCUUUGUUCCAAUAGAACCACUAUAUAUCAGAUAUAAUCUAAACUGUGUUAUUUGUAAUUCAUAUUGCUUCUUUAAACUUUUAGUUGAGCCGAGAUUGUUUCUGUCCACCAGAUUAAAACUUAUCAGGUCCCAAAAUGUUUAUGUUCACCGUACAGUAAUGCAGUUACUUUAAGAGAUAAGACAGCGUUCGUGCAAAAUGCAAAAAUAAUCAGUGUACGACAUUAAUUAGCAUUUUGAGUUUUAAUCCAGAGUAAGGGGCCCAGGCCUGU
Acinonyx jubatus (cheetah) is the source of this 2520-nucleotide long non-coding RNA. RefSeq lists it as uncharacterized. The record is from RefSeq and is a predicted model, not a curated record. NCBI's taxonomy places the organism in Eukaryota, Metazoa, Chordata, Mammalia, Carnivora, Felidae. The transcript is spliced from 5 exons.